UCGUGCUAGGCGGGGAGCUAGCGGUGCCCUGGACUCGCAAUCCGCUUUAGCGAGGUCGAAUUCCCGCCUGAGGGCGUCCACUGUGGGAACUGGCGCGGCUAAGCGGCGCUGAAGCUUGGGUCCCGUGCGGCGAGACGCUACGAACCCCGUCAGGUCCGAGAGGAAGCAGCGGUAAGUAGCAGCUUUCGGGUGCCACGGGAGUGCCUGGGCCGAGUUGGCUGGUCACGACAAGCCUGUGGCGGCGUUCGACGGCGGGUGCACGG
RNAcentral lists this signal recognition particle RNA (263 nucleotides) under Chloroflexota bacterium. RNAcentral's name for it is "Chloroflexi bacterium signal recognition particle sRNA large type". It matches the Rfam family "Bacterial large signal recognition particle RNA". From Rfam's summary of the family: The signal recognition particle (SRP) is a universally conserved ribonucleoprotein involved in the co-translational targeting of proteins to membranes. Archaeal SRP consists of a 7S RNA and homologues of the eukaryotic SRP19 and SRP54 proteins. In most bacteria, the SRP consists of a 4.5S RNA and the Ffh protein (a homologue of the eukaryotic SRP54 protein). Lineage: Bacteria; Bacillati; Chloroflexota. The record is from RNAcentral.